UCCUGGAUAGCUCAGUCGGUAGAGCAUAAGACUCUUAAUCUCAUGGUUGUGGGUUCAAGCCCCACGCUGGGCA
Molecule: transfer RNA, 73 nt
Filed under: Podarcis lilfordi (Lilford's wall lizard)
Lineage: Eukaryota; Metazoa; Chordata; Lepidosauria; Squamata; Lacertidae
Rfam family: tRNA
About the family: Transfer RNA (tRNA) molecules are approximately 80 nucleotides in length. Their secondary structure includes four short double-helical elements and three loops (D, anti-codon, and T loops).
Source: Rfam by way of RNAcentral